RNAcentral lists this ribosomal RNA (255 nucleotides) under uncultured bacterium. RNAcentral's name for it is "partial 16S ribosomal RNA". It matches the Rfam family "Bacterial small subunit ribosomal RNA", at positions 524 to 776 of the family's 1533-position model. The record is from RNAcentral.
UACGUAGGGGGGCGAGCGUUACCCGGAUUUACUGGGCGUAAAGCGCGUGUAGGCGGCUGGUCAAGCGUGGUGUGAAAUCUCCGGGCUCAACCCGGAAACUGCAUUGCGAACUGACCUGGCUGGAGUGCAGGAGAGGGCAGCGGAAUUCCCGGUGUAGCGGUGAAAUGCGUAGAUAUCAGGAGGAACACCAAUGGCGAAGGCAGCUCGCUGGGACGUGACUGACGCUGAGACGCGAAAGCGUGGGGAGCAAACAGG